UACGUAGGGUGCGAGCGUUAAUCGGAAUUACUGGGCGUAAAGCGUGCGCAGGCGGCUGUGCAAGACAGAUGUGAAAUCCCCGGGCUCAACCUGGGAACUGCAUUUGUGACUGCAAGGCUAGAGUACGGCAGAGGGGGAUGGAAUUCCGCGUGUAGCAGUGAAAUGCGUAGAUAUGCGGAGGAACACCAAUGGCGAAGGCAAUCCCCUGGGCCUGUACUGACGCUCAUGCACGAAAGCGUGGGGAGCAAACAGG
Molecule: ribosomal RNA, 253 nt
Filed under: uncultured bacterium
Lineage: Bacteria
Description: partial 16S ribosomal RNA
Rfam family: Bacterial small subunit ribosomal RNA
Source: RNAcentral